UCUGGUACGACAUGUAAGUGUGUAAGGGGUUUUAAGUCUGAGCGGCAGAUUCGAUGGCAGCAACGUAAUGUACAUUAAGUACAUGAGGCGCCGACAGAUGAAUCUAACGAACUUAGAACGCAAAAGAACUAACACAAUUUGGGGGUGUAGCUCAGCUGGGAGAGCGCCUGCCUUGCACGCAGGAGGUCAUCGGUUCGAUCCCGUUCACCUCCACCAAUAUAUGUGUGAUCUGUGAAGAGUGUGAGUAUAGAUAAGAUAUUUGAACGUAGGAUGAUCGGAAGAUUGGACUGCGUUAGAUGGAUGACAGAGUAAAGACGAAUACAAUAAACAAUCUAGUUUAACAUUAUAGUGUUAAGUUAGGCUGACGAAAGUUAGGCUAAUAAAACACAAACGCGAAACUAAAUUCAAUUUAACAGAAGCUCUUAAGAGUAAUUCUUGGGAGCGUCGAGUCAAACUUGUUUUAGGGAUGUUGAGUUAGAACUAGGCGAGUUCAAGAGAGGCGACGCAAUGUAUGAAUAAUACAUGAGGAGCCAAACGAAGAACUCAACGACGUAAAUAACUCAAGAGACCAAAACAAGGAUAUCAAGCGUCAAAAGGGCAUCUGGUGGAUGCCUAGGCACAAAGAGGCGAUGAAGGACGUGCUAA
This 645-nucleotide transfer RNA is filed under the name uncultured bacterium. RNAcentral's name for it is "partial contains 16S-23S ribosomal RNA intergenic spacer and 23S ribosomal RNA". The stretch from base 141 to 213 matches the Rfam family "tRNA". The record is from RNAcentral.